UAGCAUAUCAAUAAGCGGAGGAAAAGAAACCAACAGGGAUUACCUCAGUAACGGCGAAGUGAAGCGGUAAGAGCUCAAAUUUGAAAGCUGGCUCCUUCGGGGUCCGCAUUGUAAUUUGCAGAGGAUGUUUCGGAAGCAGCCCCCAUCUAAGUACCCUGGAACGGGUCGUCAUAGAGGGUGAGAAUCCCGUAUGGGAUGGGGUGUCUGCGUCCAUGUGAAACUCCUUCGACGAGUCGAGUUGUUUGGGAAUGCAGCUCUAAAUGGGUGGUAAAUUUCAUCUAAAGCUAAAUAUUGGCCGGAGACCGAUAGCGCACAAGUAGAGUGAUCGAAAGAUGAAAAGCACUUUGAAAAGAGAGUUAAAAAGCACGUGAAAUUGUUGAAAGGGAAGCGCUUGCGACCAGACUCGCCUCGGGGGUUCAACCGGCAUUCGUGCCGGUGUACUUCCCCCGGGGCGGGCCAGCGUCGGUUUGGGCGGUCGGUCAAAGGCCCUCGGAAUGUAACGCCUCUCGGGGCGUCUUAUAGCCGAGGGUGCCAUGCGACCUGCCCGGACCGAGGAACGCGCUUCGGCUCGGACGCUGGCAUAAUGGUCGUAAGCGACCCGUCUUGAAACACGGACCAAGGAGUCUAACAUCUACGCGAGUGUUCGGGUGUCAAACCCGUGCGCGCAGUGAAAGCGAACGGAGGUGGGAACCCUUACGGGUGCACCAUCGACCGAUCCUGAUGUCUUCGGAUGGAUUUGAGUAAGAGCGUAGCUGUUGGGACCCGAAAGAUGGUGAACUAUGCCUGAAUAGGGCGAAGCCAGAGGAAACUCUGGUGGAGGCUCGCAGCGGUUCUGACGUGCAAAUCGAUCGUCGAAUUUGGGUAUAGGGGGCGAAAGACUAAUCGAACCAUCUAGUAGCUGGUCUG
This 906-nucleotide ribosomal RNA is filed under the name Penicillium odoratum. Its description in RNAcentral is "LSU rRNA". It matches the Rfam family "Eukaryotic large subunit ribosomal RNA", at positions 36 to 958 of the family's 3401-position model. The record is from RNAcentral. Lineage: Eukaryota; Fungi; Ascomycota; Eurotiomycetes; Eurotiales; Aspergillaceae.